This 21-nucleotide non-coding RNA is filed under the name Rattus norvegicus (Norway rat). Lineage: Eukaryota; Metazoa; Chordata; Mammalia; Rodentia; Muridae. The record is from RNAcentral.
AAUAAAACAGAGUGCCUAGGC